RNAcentral lists this ribosomal RNA (253 nucleotides) under uncultured prokaryote. RNAcentral's name for it is "partial 16S ribosomal RNA". It matches the Rfam family "Bacterial small subunit ribosomal RNA", at positions 525 to 777 of the family's 1533-position model. The record is from RNAcentral.
ACGGAGGGUGCAAACGUUGCUCGGAAUCAUUGGGCGUAAAGCGCACGUAGGCGGUCCGUUAUGUCGGGUGUGAAAGCCCUCGGCUCAACCGAGGAAGUGCAUUCGAAACUGGCGGACUUGAGUACCGGAGAGGGUCGCGGAAUUCCCGGUGUAGAGGUGAAAUUCGUAGAUAUCGGGAGGAACACCAGUGGCGAAGGCGGCGACCUGGUCGGAUACUGACGCUGAGGUGCGAAAGCGUGGGGAGCAAACAGGA